Molecule: long non-coding RNA, 258 nt
Filed under: Mytilus galloprovincialis (Mediterranean mussel)
Lineage: Eukaryota; Metazoa; Mollusca; Bivalvia; Mytilida; Mytilidae
Source: RNAcentral
CUCAAAUUAGCCUUAGUCGGUCUUAGUCAUUUAUACAUGAUUCAUAUCCUACCAAUGGCAUGUUAAUAAGGCUCUUAAAAGAAAAAGCACUGAUGGGUUGUCCUAGAAGCAUAUUUUGUUAGACUCAUAAUGGUCUAUAUACAAGCAGUUACAUUUAUUACAUGUUUGAAACGGUGCAAAUUUUUAAUUUGAUUUAACGAAGCAUUGUAGCAAAGGAGAAGAAUAAUUGUGGUCUGAGGCCAGAACCACGAAAAUGAA